This 641-nucleotide ribosomal RNA is filed under the name Candidatus Zambryskibacteria bacterium RIFCSPLOWO2_02_FULL_38_13. RNAcentral describes it as "bacterial SSU rRNA". It matches the Rfam family "Bacterial small subunit ribosomal RNA", at positions 1 to 653 of the family's 1533-position model. The record is from RNAcentral. Lineage: Bacteria; Candidatus Zambryskiibacteriota.
UUAGAGUUUGAUCCUAGCUCAGGAUGAACGCUGGCGGCGUGGAUAAGGCAUGCAAGUCUAAAGGAUUUUCGGCGCAAGCCGAAGGUCCUUGGCAAACGAGGUAGUAACACGUAGGUACGUACCCUUUAGUUGAGUAUAACUAGCCGAAAGGUUAGAUAAUUCUCAAUGGUCUCUGAGGCGCAAGCCAAGGAGUAAAGAUUUAUCGCUAAAGGAACGGCCUGCGGCCUAUCAGCUAGUUGGUGAGGUAAUGGCUCACCAAGGCUAUGACGGGUAGGGGAGCUGAGAGGCUGACCCCCACCGAUGGAACUGAGAAACGGUCCAUACACCUACGGGUGGCCGCAGUCGAGAAUCUUCCGCAAUGGGCGAAAGCCUGACGGAGCGACGCCGCGUGGUUGAUGAAGUCCUUCGGGACGUAAAAACCUUUUAUGAUUGAGAAAUCCGUCCGUUUUAACUGACGGUUGAUCUGAUCAUGAAUAAGGGGCUCCAAACUCUGUGCCAGCAGGAGCGGUAAUACAGAGGCCCCAAGCGUUAUCCGGAAUCACUGGGCGUAAAGGGUGUGUAGGUGGUUUUGUUAGUCUCUUGUUAAAGCUCCCGACUCAAUCGGGAAAAUGCAAGGGAUACGGCAAGACUAAGAGAGUGUG